Molecule: ribosomal RNA, 433 nt
Filed under: uncultured bacterium
Lineage: Bacteria
Description: bacterial SSU rRNA
Rfam family: Bacterial small subunit ribosomal RNA
Source: RNAcentral
AGCGAACGCUGGCGGCAGGCUUAACACAUGCAAGUCGAGCGGACCUUUCGGGGUCAGCGGCGGACGGGUGAGUAACGCGUGGGAACGUGCCUUCCGGUUCGGAAUAACCCUGGGAAACUAGGGCUAAUACCGGAUACGCCCUUAUGGGGAAAGGUUUACUGCCGGAAGAUCGGCCCGCGUCUGAUUAGCUAGUUGGUGGGGUAACGGCCUACCAAGGCGACGAUCAGUAGCUGGUCUGAGAGGAUGAUCAGCCACACUGGGACUGAGACACGGCCCAGACUCCUACGGGAGGCAGCAGUGGGGAAUAUUGGACAAUGGGCGCAAGCCUGAUCCAGCCAUGCCGCGUGAGUGAUGAAGGCCUUAGGGUUGUAAAGCUCUUUUAUCCGGGACGAUAAUGACGGUACCGGAGGAAUAAGCCCCGGCUAACUACGUG